Molecule: long non-coding RNA, 207 nt
Filed under: Elaeis guineensis (African oil palm)
Lineage: Eukaryota; Viridiplantae; Streptophyta; Magnoliopsida; Arecales; Arecaceae
Description: long non-coding RNA (EGUI_LNC072133)
Source: RNAcentral
GUGCAUGAUGACUAGCGAGCGAUUGGGUUUAGAAAUGAGCGUAAGCGGUCUUCACGCGAUUCUUCACGUGGACCUGAGACCUGGGAUGCUCACCGAGACAAAGAGGAGGGGUGCUAAAAUCAAAAAAGGAAACAAAAAAUUUGUAAACAACGGAGAGACCUCUUUCUUUGGUCCCGCAUCCAAAAUAUACAAAAACCUUCUCCCUCC